This is a long non-coding RNA of Eurytemora carolleeae, 158 nucleotides long. RefSeq lists it as uncharacterized. NCBI's taxonomy places the organism in Eukaryota, Metazoa, Arthropoda, Copepoda, Calanoida, Temoridae. The record is from RefSeq and is a predicted model, not a curated record. The transcript is spliced from 2 exons.
AGAAAAAUGGUACGAUAUUGUUCGGUUAUUGGUUGUAAAUCAAACAACAGUUUCAAAAACCUUACAUUUCAUAGUGUACCAGACGGAUUCAAGGACCUUUGGACAAGUGAAGUGUUCAAUAAAAUGUUAAAUUAAAGUUAAUAAAGUUUUGUUUUCUA